This 678-nucleotide ribosomal RNA is filed under the name Caulobacter sp. A24MT2. RNAcentral's name for it is "bacterial SSU rRNA". It matches the Rfam family "Bacterial small subunit ribosomal RNA", at positions 112 to 826 of the family's 1533-position model. The record is from RNAcentral. Lineage: Bacteria; Pseudomonadati; Pseudomonadota; Alphaproteobacteria; Caulobacterales; Caulobacteraceae.
AACACGUGGGAACGUGCCUUUUGGUUCGGAACAACUCAGGGAAACUUGAGCUAAUACCGGAUAAGCCUUUCGAGGGAAAGAUUUAUCGCCAUUAGAGCGGCCCGCGUAGGAUUAGCUAGUUGGUGGGGUAAAGGCCCACCAAGGCUACGAUCCUUAGCUGGUCUGAGAGGAUGAUCAGCCACAUUGGGACUGAGACACGGCCCAAACUCCUACGGGAGGCAGCAGUGGGGAAUCUUGCGCAAUGGGCGAAAGCCUGACGCAGCCAUGCCGCGUGAAUGAUGAAGGUCUUAGGAUUGUAAAAUUCUUUCACCGGGGACGAUAAUGACGGUACCCGGAGAAGAAGCCCCGGCUAACUUCGUGCCAGCAGCCGCGGUAAUACGAAGGGGGCUAGCGUUGCUCGGAAUUACUGGGCGUAAAGGGAGCGUAGGCGGAUAGUUUAGUCAGAGGUGAAAGCCCAGGGCUCAACCUUGGAAUUGCCUUUGAUACUGGCUAUCUUGAGUACGGAAGAGGUAUGUGGAACUCCGAGUGUAGAGGUGAAAUUCGUAGAUAUUCGGAAGAACACCAGUGGCGAAGGCGACAUACUGGUCCGUUACUGACGCUGAGGCUCGAAAGCGUGGGGAGCAAACAGGAUUAGAUACCCUGGAGUCCACGCUGUAAACGAUGAGUGCUAGUUGUCGG